UACGUAGGGGGCAAGCGUUGUCCGGAAUUAUUGGGCGUAAAGAGCGCGUAGGCGGUCCGAUAAGUCGGCUGUGAAAGUCAGGGGCUCAACCCUUGAAAGCCGGCCGAUACUGUCGGACUAGAGUCCGGAAGAGGCAAGUGGAAUUCCCGGUGUAGCGGUGAAAUGCGCAGAUAUCGGGAGGAACACCAAUGGCGAAGGCAGCUUGCUGGGACGGUACUGACGCUGAGGAGCGAAAGCCAGGGGAGCAAACGGG
Molecule: ribosomal RNA, 253 nt
Filed under: uncultured bacterium
Lineage: Bacteria
Description: partial 16S ribosomal RNA
Rfam family: Bacterial small subunit ribosomal RNA
Source: RNAcentral